GGGCUUAGAGAUCCGUUUUCAAUAUGUUUUGGAAGCUCACAUCUCUUUCUGCUUGUUCACCGGUUGAAGCAGUAUUAGACAAGGAAAACUUCACAUUGGAAGAGCUUCUCGAUGAAGAAGAGAUAAUUCAAGAAUGCAAAGCUUUGAACAACCGUCUCAUAAAUUUGUAAACAUUCUUGGAGUUUAAAUUUUUUAAAUCCCUCUUUA
This 207-nucleotide unclassified non-coding RNA is filed under the name Hevea brasiliensis (rubber tree). The record is from RNAcentral. Lineage: Eukaryota; Viridiplantae; Streptophyta; Magnoliopsida; Malpighiales; Euphorbiaceae.